This 75-nucleotide transfer RNA is filed under the name Cronartium ribicola 11-2. RNAcentral's name for it is "tRNA-Met (CAT) (tRNA-Met-CAT-7-1)". It matches the Rfam family "tRNA". From Rfam's summary of the family: Transfer RNA (tRNA) molecules are approximately 80 nucleotides in length. Their secondary structure includes four short double-helical elements and three loops (D, anti-codon, and T loops). The record is from RNAcentral. Lineage: Eukaryota; Fungi; Basidiomycota; Pucciniomycetes; Pucciniales; Coleosporiaceae.
GCCUCUGUAGCUCAGUGGUAUAAGAGCAGUCAUUCCCAUGUUGGAUGGUCAUGGGUUCGAAUCCCAUUGGAGACA